This 803-nucleotide long non-coding RNA is filed under the name Zostera marina. RNAcentral's name for it is "long non-coding RNA (ZMAR_LNC004823)". The record is from RNAcentral. Lineage: Eukaryota; Viridiplantae; Streptophyta; Magnoliopsida; Alismatales; Zosteraceae.
UGCCCUGAAGGAGAUUGAUGGGCUGAAGACGCAGCUGAGUGCGGAAGUGGGAAAUGCGAUGAUUUCUGAAUCACAAAUUCAGAAAUUACAAGUAAAACUUUCUGAAUCCACUUCGCCUUGAAAGAUUUGGAGGAUCGCUUCUCUCGGUCCACGGAGAAGUCGAAGAAGAUGAAGGAAGCUCUGGACGCUUCUUCUGAAAAAGUCAAGGAUUUGGAGUUCGAAGUUGAUGGCCAAUCUGAUCAACUUCAGGACUUGAACUUUUUUGGUGCUCACGUGUUUACGAGUCUGCCCGCCAACUACAUUUCAGACAUUAUGGCGUGGCUAGAAGAACAUCCUGAAGUGCAGCUGGAGCACAAGGAAGCCUUAGAUAAGAUCAAAAGCGAUGUUCGCGAAGCGAGGAAAGAAGACUGAACUAUUAUUGUAAUAGAUUUCCUUCUAUUUUUUGUAGUGGAUUUUGUAUUUUUUUUUUUGUGUUAAUGAAAUUACUUUCUUUGCUAAUGUGUUUAGACUUAAACUAGAUUCUUAGAUCGUAACUUAGUCGCUCUGGAUGUAAGUUAGAUACUUAGGACAUAGGUUUGGUCGUACGAAUCGUAGUUGAACUUAAACUAGAUUCACAAAUCGUAACUUAGUCGCUCUGGACGUAAGUUAGAUUCUUUUAACUCUACUUAGCCACUUAGGACGUAAGUUUGGAAAAACUCGACUUAACUAGAUUCACAAAUCGUAACUUAGUCGCUUUGGACGUAAGUUAGAUUUUUUUUAACUUUACUUAGCCACUUAGGACGUAAGUACGAAUCGUAGUUAAA